This 5820-nucleotide unclassified non-coding RNA is filed under the name Patiria miniata (bat star). Its description in RNAcentral is "f-box only protein 11-like, transcript variant X6". The record is from RNAcentral. Lineage: Eukaryota; Metazoa; Echinodermata; Asteroidea; Valvatida; Asterinidae.
UUUUCCCCCAUCAUGCACUGCGGCUUCACUCACAUCUCAUCGACCGCAUAGACAGUGUGUUUUUCCAAUGUUUCGAUAAAUUCCAACCGCAUUUUUUACCUUAAAGGCACCCGAAAUCGAAAUAAAAACCAUGUCAUCACCGAGUAGGAAUUCCAGUGGACCUACUCUGCGAAGAUCAAGACGAUUGAGUAAGGGAAAAGUGAACAGUUCUUUGUCGGCGACUGGCACAGCUCAACAACCCACAACAUCAAGAACAAAAACAAGUGGGAGCCCACAGGAUAGGAGUAGUCGGCCCUACAGCCUACGACGGAAAGCCUCGCCAAUCCCCCCACCAUGCGAAACCAUCAGUGUACAUCAGGGUAUUCUGGCCGGCUCUUCCUCCGGUACCACCUCCAUCACUGCAUCCACCGCGUCCAAAGCCAAGAGAGCACGGCUCACGCAUCACCAAGCUGCCCAGAGUGUUAACUUGUCUAAUCCCGAAGACAACUUUCUCCAGUAUCAUGUCCCGUCUGAAAUCCUGCUCAAGAUCUUCUCUUACCUCCUGGAGAAGGACUUGUGCAAUGUCCUGUGCGUCUGCAAACGCUUCAACACGUUAGCGGGGGACCCUACAGUAUGGAAAAAGAUGUACCAGUCAGUCUAUGAGAUGUCCCUGCCUGUACUGCGUCCCUCACCCACCAGGUUUAAGUUUGUACAACCAGACAAGGUCGAUUCCCCUAACAUUUGGAAGGAGAGCUUCAAAACACUAUACAAUGCAGUUCACGUCAAGCCGGGCCACGCGCGCCGCGUCUACGACAACAUGGAAAUGUACAAAGGCAGGGAAAUCCAGUAUUACGACACGAUAGAGGAGGCUCUGUCAUCCGUGGAGGGUAACGAUUACCCACUCAUCCUACUACACGCUGGGGUGUACAGUGGGGAGUGGCUGUACAUCGACACACCCGUCUGCAUACUUGGUGCUGCGCCUGGACAUAUUCCGGACAGCGUCAUCGUAGAAAACUUCAAGGAGUCCACAUUUGUUUUCUUUGAGGGCUGUGAGGAUGCCUACUUAGGACAUAUCAGCAUUAGGUUUAACCCUGACCACCAGUCCAACACACCCCACCACAAGCACUCCUGCGUGGAGGUGGGCUCCUGCUGCUCCCCCAUCAUCGAUAGCUGCAACAUCCGCAGUCGCUCACAAGGUAGAGCAAGGGUGGGUGCAGCCGUUAGUGUCAGUGGCAAGAACGCAGCGCCCACCGUCAAGAAUUGUGUCAUCAGUGACUGUGAGAACGUAGGACUGUUCAUCAAUGACCACGCCCAGGGUCACUUUAUGGACUGUGAAAUCAGCGGCAACGCCCUAGCCGGUAUCUGGGUCAAGAACCAUGCCAAUCCCCUCAUCAGACGGUGUCAUAUUCACCACGGUAGGGACGUGGGCGUCUUCACUUUUGACAAUGGCAUGGGUCAUUUUGACAGAUGCGACAUCCAUCAUAACCGGAUAGCAGGCUUUGAGGUCAAGGCAGGAGCCAACCCUACGGUGGUGCACUGUGAGAUCCAUCAUGGCCAGACGGGAGGCAUCUACGUCCACGAGAACGGCAGGGGGGAGUUCCUGGAGAACAAAAUCCACUCAAAUACCUUCGCCGGUGUCUGGGUGACGUCAAACAGUGAUCCCACAAUCAGGGGCAACGAGAUUUUCAAUGGGCAUCAGGGUGGGGUGUACAUAUUUGGGGAGGGGCGGGGUUUGAUAGAGAACAACGACAUCCACAGUAACGCGCUGGCCGGCAUCCAAAUCCGAACCAACAGUAAUCCCAUCAUCAGGGGCAACCGCAUUCACGACGGCCAACACGGCGGUAUUUAUGUGCAUGAAAAGGGUAAAGGGCUGAUCAUAGAGAAUGAAGUAUACAGCAACACGCUGGCCGGAGUCUGGGUGACAACAGGUAGCUGUCCAGAGCUCAGGAGGAAUAGAAUACACAGCGGCAAACAGGUGGGAGUGUACUUCUAUGACAAUGGCCACGGCACGUUGGAGGACAAUGACAUCUUCAAUCACAUGUACUCUGGGGUGCAGAUCAGGACAGGCAGUGACCCUAUCAUCAGACGCAACAAGAUCUGGGGCGGGCAGAACGGCGGAAUCCUGGUCUACAACGGAGGUCUCGGUGUACUGGAGUACAAUGAGAUAUUUGACAACGCCAUGGCGGGUGUCUGGAUCAAGACCGACAGCAACCCUCACCUACGAUACAACAAGAUACAUGACGGCAGAGAUGGGGGAAUCUGUAUCUUCAAUGGAGGAAGGGGCUUACUGGAAGAGAACGAGAUCUUCCGUAACACCCAGGCGGGCGUCCUGAUCAGUUCCCAGAGCCACCCUAAGCUCAAGCGGAAUAAGAUCUACGACGGCCUGGCAGCGGGUAUAGAGAUCACUAACAACGCCACGGCUUACCUAGAGGGAAAUCACGUCUUCAAUAACAAGUUUGCUGGCAUCUGCCUGGCUACGGGGGUCAACCCGGAAAUGAAAGAUAACAAGGUGCAUGGUAAUAAGAAUGCCAUAGAGAAGGCAGUCAAGUGUGGCCGCUGCCUCUACAAGAUCUCCAGCUAUACCAGCUACCCUAUGCACGACUUCUACAGGUGCAAAACAUGCAACACAACGGACCGCAACGCCAUCUGUGUCAACUGCAUCAGGCGGUGCCAUUCAGGCCAUGAUGUAGAGUUUGUCACGCACGACAGGUUUUUCUGCGAUUGUGGCGCCGGUACCCUGUCCCUCCAAUGCCAACUUGCUGGGGAACCCACCAAGGACACCGACACGCUGUACGACUCGGCGGCACCCAUCGAGUCGCACACCCUAAUGGUCAACUAGCGACGAUUUCCCCGUUAACCCUCUUCCCCAACUACUACCUGCCUUUUCCAACCCCACCCCAAACACUUCCACCGCAUCGUUUCAUCGGUUCAACAGUCGGCAUACACAUUCACAAGUACUGUAUGGUAGAGACAACAGAAAAAUAUCAUUGCUGUACCAGUUUUCUUGCAAUAUGGAAUCUUAUUUGCGAAACCCUGUAAAACUUCACCAUUAUUUCACUCCUUUUGUACUCAUUCACCGUUUUUGCAUGAGUUGACAUCUUUCGAACCUUAAACGCCGGCACACACAAUCCAUAAGGGCACUAGACCAAAAAAGGGCGCCGUUUUCUUAAAACUACUCGGCACACAAAGUACGUUUCAAAAUGUUGAGGUUUUGCUGAGCAAAACCAAGCGUGCAUUGAAAAGCCCAUUUUGUGUUUGUGUUCUGUGCGUGAACUGUUCCAAGCAUUUUUUCAGGGUGCUAUGGGGAGUCCGACCCUGUAUGUAUAAUCAAUGGCCGCCUAGUUACAGCCUCCACAGGAUGGACGCGUUGUCACAGCUUUGCCAUUCACGCCUGAAUGCUGCCGCGGGAAAUGAUCUUCAUAAGCCAAAAAGCACAGUCACUCAUUUUGAGUCAGUGGAGACGUAGUGCAUGAACAAGUAAUGGUGGCCAAGUUAUGGUGCGCAUUGUCACUGCUCAUAUACCACUCAUGGUGCUGUCAUGGGUACGGUGGAAAAAAAUUGGACAAGUCUUGCGUUAUUUGCAUCGCUGUUGUCGGUGGAAUGCAUCAAAAGCUGUCGACCACAUCACCAUCGUCAUUUUUUUUCCCAGAGUCAAUCUAUACGAUAUGUUUCUGAUGUGAGUAGGCCCAUGCACAAGUCAACAGUGUACAAGAUAGGUUGUUGGCUUUACUCGGCUGCAAGCCAUGCCUCCUCAAAAGUCAAAUCGAUAAGGCAGCGAAAAACCUUGAGGACUUGCGUACGGGUUGCCGUUUAGAGGUGAAGACAUUGGGAAAGUGGGCAUUACGUUUGGAGAUUGUUCAAUCUAUUCUGUUGCCUGACUCCUCUGUGGUCGCAGAAGACUUACUGAUAACCGAGACGCUAAGAAAUGGGGUCAGGUGACAUGGUCAGGUGACAUCACGGAGUAAUGGUAGCAUAAUCGUCAGAAUGUCAAACUUGAUGCGUUUUGCUGCAGUACGACAAAUACUUCAAUCGCCGCGUGGGCUUCGCAGCAUAGAUAUGUAUUUAUUAUUUAACGAUCACUGGGUUCUGAUUGAGAUAUUGGGUACAACAGAAAAUGGUUCAUCCAUUCUGGUAAGAAAAAAAAUGCUCCAGUCAAUAUCUUUGUUCAACUUUAAAAAAAAAAAAUCAUAAUGCACCUAGUCAGUUUUCCCUUUUGCGGCUCAUUUGAAAGCUAAUGAGAGUGAUGACGAACUGAAUGGGUUGUUUUGUCUCCCAGUUUAAAAGGUCGAGUAAAGGAGAGAAGAUCAAGUUCUGUGGUGGCAGAGUUCAGCUCACUUUGUGGGAAACUUUGGCAGAAAUUGAAAUUUUCCAGCCAAAAGAGAUGUAUUUUUGUCAUUAAUAUUUAUUAUUAAAUCUGACUUAUCAAAAAAAACGACAAAAAUGAACAGCAUUUUUCCUUUUUCUUUUUUCAUUGAUGAAUUCCAAUUAUCUUAUUGGACAUCCGUGGUCUUAAGUAUUAAAAAAAAAUUAUCAAAUUAAAUAUCAAAUUACGAUUUUGAUUUACCCUUUGAUCAAAUUGACGAUUGAUUGCGAGGAGAAUGAUUUGAAAUUAAGCACGGGGACAUAACAAUAACAUGCCUAAAAGCAAUUUUUUUUUUUCUUCUCUAAAUGUGCUUCCUGGACGGCUUAAAAUGUUCGUGUUUGGUUGUAGAGUUUUUAUAAGGUUCAUCUCAUAACCAAAUCAACUCAUUUUUUUACACGUAGAUGUGACUUAGUUAUGUGUUUUUGGUUUGUUUUUGUCACCACAAAUUUGCAGUAUUUCUAAGUGCCAUGCCUUUGCCCCUUGGCGGUUAAAUUGUAAAACAGUCGUAGCGGUCCACAAAGUAGUGUUCAUUGUUUUUACAUUUGAGUGUCAUUUGUCAUUAUGUUUUCAUUUGUUCAACCAUGGAUCCUCUAUACAAGGAUAAACGACUUCCCCAAAUAUCUGGUUACAUGCGCGAUACGUCCCUUGCGCGUUGUGCGUGCGCAUAUGUGAGACUCGGUGCGCAACUGCAGGUGAAUUUCUGACGGGUUUCAAUGAGAUUUCGUGUAGGCCGGCGCCAGCUGUCGGGGAGUCAUGGCGUGCGCGCAUUAUUGUAUAUGUUCUAUUCUUUGUUCUGUGCGCGGACGCGUAGUAUCACGCAUGUAGACAAUCCAUUCCAUGCAUUUUGUACACAAGCUCAGAUGAGUCGUUUAAUCCUUGCGUAGAAGAUCCGUGGUUCAACUAAGUACAAGACUGACGCUAUCCAAACUACAAGUGUUUUUAAGACUUUUAUACAAACUGAUGUCCAAAAAAAUGUCCUUCACAAACACAAAAUUUAAUUUUGGGAUGAAAAAACCAAAAUGGCGUCCCCCCAUUAGUCUUGCACCAAAUAUCACCUUGUAUUUUUCAAAGGAAUUUGCAUUCAUUUUGGUUCAGUUUUCCCUGCACCUGACUCUAAAGGCCAAGUAAUUAAAAAAAAAAAAAUAUAGAAAAAAAAAUGAAAAUUUCAAUUGCAAUUUGUUACAAUAAAAACACAAAAAGGUUUUUGCAGACAUAUGCACUGGUGCUGUAGGAUUACUAACAACUGCAACGGGCAGGGUUUUUUUCCCCCUUGUUUAUUUGUUGUUAGGGUAGCUUUUGAUUUUUAUUUAUUAGUGAUGUAAGUUUGAACACGUAGCAGUAAAAAAAAAAAGUGUCACACGUUACUCUCCACAUUUUGUACUUAAAACAUGUAAUGUUUCCGAAGGGUUGAGAUAUUAUCUUCUUUUUUUUUAUGACACCAAAAGAUUGAAAUAAAUUCAAGGCAUUCUUGCACCUAA